CGGAGGAUCCAAGCGUUAUCCGGAAUCAUUGGGUUUAAAGGGUCCGUAGGCGGCCCUGUAAGUCAGCGGUGAAAUCUCCCGGCUCAACCGGGAAAUGGCCGUUGAUACUGCAGGGCUUGAAUUAGUAGGAAGUAACUAGAAUAUGUAGUGUAGCGGUGAAAUGCUUAGAGAUUACAUGGAAUACCAAUUGCGAAGGCAGGUUACUACUACUAUAUUGACGCUGAGGGACGAAAGCGUGGGUAGCGAACAGGAUU
RNAcentral lists this ribosomal RNA (254 nucleotides) under uncultured bacterium. RNAcentral describes it as "partial 16S ribosomal RNA". It matches the Rfam family "Bacterial small subunit ribosomal RNA", at positions 526 to 779 of the family's 1533-position model. The record is from RNAcentral.